GAUGAACGCUGGCGGCGUGCCUAAUACAUGCAAGUCGAGCGAACAGACGAGGAGCUUGCUCCUCUGACGUUAGCGGCGGACGGGUGAGUAACACGUGGAUAACCUACCUAUAAGACUGGGAUAACUUCGGGAAACCGGAGCUAAUACCGGAUAAUAUAUUGAACCGCAUGGUUCAAUAGUGAAAGACGGUUUUGCUGUCACUUAUAGAUGGAUCCGCGCCGCAUUAGCUAGUUGGUAAGGUAACGGCUUACCAAGGCAACGAUGCGUAGCCGACCUGAGAGGGUGAUCGGCCACACUGGAACUGGGACACGGUCCAGACUCCUACGGGAGGCAGCAGUAGGGAAUCUUCCGCAAUGGGCGAAAGCCUGACGGAGCAGCGCCGCGUGAGUGAUGAAGGUCUUCGGAUCGUAAAACUCUGUUAUUAGGGAAGAACAAAUGUGUAAGUAACUAUGCACGUCUUGACGGUACCUAAUCAGAAAGCCACGGCUAACUACGUG
This 497-nucleotide ribosomal RNA is filed under the name uncultured bacterium. RNAcentral's name for it is "partial 16S ribosomal RNA". It matches the Rfam family "Bacterial small subunit ribosomal RNA", at positions 28 to 507 of the family's 1533-position model. The record is from RNAcentral.